Molecule: long non-coding RNA, 189 nt
Filed under: Fukomys damarensis (Damara mole-rat)
Lineage: Eukaryota; Metazoa; Chordata; Mammalia; Rodentia; Bathyergidae
Description: lncRNA (ENSFDAG00000029519.1)
Source: RNAcentral
CGUUGCUGAGGCAGGUGGCUCUAGAGAGAGGAGUCAAUUGGUGACAGGGAGAGACUGGCAAAGGGAUGGCGGAGACAAUGAAGACGAACAGAUAGCACAAGCACCCAACGGAACCAGCAAUUUCAAAUCUGUCUCUAAUGACUUUUUAAGUUUUUAAACUGAAAGUGUCAAGAAACAAGGCCCAGCCCC